RNAcentral lists this transfer RNA (68 nucleotides) under Solanum lycopersicum (tomato). The record is from Rfam by way of RNAcentral. Lineage: Eukaryota; Viridiplantae; Streptophyta; Magnoliopsida; Solanales; Solanaceae.
AUUAUGAUGGCCAAGUGGUCUAAGGCGCCAGACUCAAGAUCUGACCUUUCUAGGAAGGUGUCAUAAUG